GAUGAACGCUGGCGGCGUGCCUAAUACAUGCAAGUCGAGCGAACAGACGAGGAGCUUGCUCCGCUGACGUUAGCGGCGGACGGGUGAGUAACACGUGGAUAACCUACCUAUAAGACUGGGAUAACUUCGGGAAACCGGAGCUAAUACCGGAUAACAUGUUGAACCGCAUGGUGCAAUAGUGAAAGACGGUUUUGCUGGCACGUAUAGAUGGAUCCGCGCCGCAUUAGCGAGUUGGUAAGGUAACGGCUUACCAAGGCAACGAUGCGUAGCCGACCUGAGGGGGUGAUAGGCCACACGGGAACUGAGCCACGGUCCAGACUCCUACGGGAGGCAGCAGUAGGGAAUCUUCCGCAAUGGGCGAAAGCCUGACGGAGCAACGCCGCGUGAGUGAAGACGGUCUUCGGAUCGUAAAACUCUGUUAUGAGGGAAGAACAAAUGUGUAAGUAACUAUGCACGUCUUGACGGUACCUAAUCAGAAAGCCCCGGCUAACUACGUG
RNAcentral lists this ribosomal RNA (497 nucleotides) under uncultured bacterium. Its description in RNAcentral is "partial 16S ribosomal RNA". It matches the Rfam family "Bacterial small subunit ribosomal RNA", at positions 28 to 507 of the family's 1533-position model. The record is from RNAcentral.